Molecule: ribosomal RNA, 780 nt
Filed under: uncultured bacterium
Lineage: Bacteria
Description: bacterial SSU rRNA
Rfam family: Bacterial small subunit ribosomal RNA
Source: RNAcentral
GUCGAGCGGUAACAGGGGUAGCUUGCUACCCGCUGACGAGCGGCGGACGGGUGAGUAAUGCAUAGGAAUCUGCCCGAUAGUGGGGGAUAACCUGGGGAAACCCAGGCUAAUACCGCAUACGUCCUACGGGAGAAAGGGGGCUUCGGCUCCCGCUAUUGGAUGAGCCUAUGUCGGAUUAGCUAGUUGGUAAGGUAAUGGCUUACCAAGGCAACGAUCCGUAGCUGGUCUGAGAGGAUGAUCAGCCACAUCGGGACUGAGACACGGCCCGAACUCCUACGGGAGGCAGCAGUGGGGAAUAUUGGACAAUGGGGGCAACCCUGAUCCAGCCAUGCCGCGUGUGUGAAGAAGGCCCUCGGGUUGUAAAGCACUUUCAGCGAGGAAGAACGCCUAUCGGUUAAUACCCGGUAGGAAAGACAUCACUCGCAGAAGAAGCACCGGCUAACUCCGUGCCAGCAGCCGCGGUAAUACGGAGGGUGCAAGCGUUAAUCGGAAUUACUGGGCGUAAAGCGCGCGUAGGUGGCUUGAUAAGCCGGUUGUGAAAGCCCCGGGCUCAACCUGGGAACGGCAUCCGGAACUGUCAGGCUAGAGUGCAGGAGAGGAAGGUAGGAUUCCCGGUGUAGCGGUGAAAUGCGUAGAGAUCGGGAGGAAUACCAGUGGCGAAGGCGGCCUUCUGGACUGACACUGACACUGAGGUGCGAAAGCGUGGGUAGCAAACAGGAUUAGAUACCCUGGUAGUCCACGCCGUAAACGAUGUCGACCAGCCGUUGGGUGCCUAGAGCA